Molecule: ribosomal RNA, 524 nt
Filed under: uncultured bacterium
Lineage: Bacteria
Description: partial 16S ribosomal RNA
Rfam family: Bacterial small subunit ribosomal RNA
Source: RNAcentral
GACGAACGCUGGCGGCGUGCCUAAUACAUGCAAGUCGAACGAAGCUUUUUCAACUGGUGCUUGCACCGACUUAAACAACUGAGUGGCGAACGGGUGAGUAACACGUGGGUAACCUGCCCCAAAGCGGGGGAUAACAUUUGGAAACAGAUGCUAAUACCGCAUAACCACAGAAACCACAUGGUUUCUGUGUCAAAGAUGGUUUCGGCUAUCACUUUGGGAUGGACCCGCGGCGUAUUAGCUAGUUGGUAAGGUAAUGGCUUACCAAGGCAAUGAUACGUAGCCGAACUGAGAGGUUGAUCGGCCACAUUGGGACUGAGACACGGCCCAAACUCCUACGGGAGGCAGCAGUAGGGAAUCUUCCACAAUGGACGAAAGUCUGAUGGAGCAACGCCGCGUGAGUGAAGAAGGUUUUCGGAUCGUAAAACUCUGUUGUCAGAGAAGAACGUGUGCGAGAGUAACUGUUCGUGCAAUGACGGUAUCUGGCCAGAAAGCCACGGCUAACUACGUGCCAGCCGCCGCUGUAA